UGGUGGAGUGAUUUGUCUGGUUAAUUCCGUUAACGAACGAGACCCCUGCCUGCUAAAUAGUCGCUUCAAUGCCUAGCAUUGGAGUGGGCUUCUUAGAGGGACUUUUGGUGACUAACCAAAGGAAGUUAGGGGCAAUAACA
RNAcentral lists this ribosomal RNA (140 nucleotides) under uncultured eukaryote. RNAcentral's name for it is "partial 18S ribosomal RNA". It matches the Rfam family "Eukaryotic small subunit ribosomal RNA", at positions 1299 to 1458 of the family's 1831-position model. The record is from RNAcentral.